AUUGAACGCUGGCGGCAUGCCUUACACAUGCAAGUCGAACGGCAGCACGGGAGCAAUCCUGGUGGCGAGUGGCGAACGGGUGAGUAAUACAUCGGAACGUGCCCAGUAGUGGGGGAUAUCCCGGCGAAAGCCGGACUAAUACCGCAUACGACCUACGGGUGAAAGCGGGGGAUCGCAAGACCUCGCGCUAUCGGAGCGGCCGAUGUCAGAUUAGCUAGUUGGUGGGGUAAAGGCCUACCAAGGCGACGAUCUGUAGCUGGUCUGAGAGGACGACCAGCCACACUGGGACUGAGACACGGCCCAGACUCCUACGGGAGGCAGCAGUGGGGAAUUUUGGACAAUGGGCGCAAGCCUGAUCCAGCCAUGCCGCGUGCGGGAAGAAGGCCUUCGGGUUGUAAACCGCUUUUGUCAGGGAAGAAACGCUCCGGGCUAAUACCACGGAGUAAUGACGGUACCUGAAGAAUAAGCACCGGCUAACUACGUG
Molecule: ribosomal RNA, 484 nt
Filed under: uncultured bacterium
Lineage: Bacteria
Description: partial 16S ribosomal RNA
Rfam family: Bacterial small subunit ribosomal RNA
Source: RNAcentral